AUCUCCAUAGCUCAAUUGGAAUAGAGCACGUGCCUUCUAAGCAUGAGGUUGUAGGUUCGAAUCCUACUGGAGAUA
Molecule: transfer RNA, 75 nt
Filed under: Clostridia bacterium
Lineage: Bacteria; Bacillati; Bacillota; Clostridia
Description: tRNA-Arg
Rfam family: tRNA
About the family: Transfer RNA (tRNA) molecules are approximately 80 nucleotides in length. Their secondary structure includes four short double-helical elements and three loops (D, anti-codon, and T loops). Further hydrogen bonds mediate the characteristic L-shaped molecular structure. tRNAs have two regions of fundamental functional importance: the anti-codon, which is responsible for specific mRNA codon recognition, and the 3' end, to which the tRNAs corresponding amino acid is attached (by aminoacyl-tRNA synthetases). tRNAs cope with the degeneracy of the genetic code in two manners: having more than one tRNA (with a specific anti-codon) for a particular amino acid; and 'wobble' base-pairing, i.e. permitting non-standard base-pairing at the 3rd anti-codon position.
Source: RNAcentral